UACGUAGGGGGCAAGCGUUGUCCGGAUUUAUUGGGCGUAAAGAGCGUGUAGGCGGCUUUACAGGUCCGUUGUGAAAACUCGAGGCUCAACCUCGAGACGCCGGUGGAAACCGUAAAGCUAGAGUCCGGAAGAGGAGAGUGGAAUUCCUGGUGUAGCGGUGAAAUGCGCAGAUAUCAGGAGGAACACCAAUGGCGAAGGCAGCUCGCUGGGACGUUACUGACGCUGAGACGCGAAAGCGUGGGGAGCAAACAGG
Molecule: ribosomal RNA, 253 nt
Filed under: uncultured bacterium
Lineage: Bacteria
Description: partial 16S ribosomal RNA
Rfam family: Bacterial small subunit ribosomal RNA
Source: RNAcentral